This 581-nucleotide ribosomal RNA is filed under the name Istiblennius lineatus (lined rockskipper). Its description in RNAcentral is "partial 16S ribosomal RNA". It matches the Rfam family "Bacterial large subunit ribosomal RNA", at positions 1815 to 2604 of the family's 2925-position model. The record is from RNAcentral. Lineage: Eukaryota; Metazoa; Chordata; Actinopteri; Blenniiformes; Blenniidae.
AUCGCCUCUCGGCCCACCAAAAAUGAGAGGUCCCGCCUGCCCUGUGAUAAACAUUUAACGGCCGCGGUAUUUUGACCGUGCAAAGGUAGCGCAAUCACUUGUCUUUUAAAUGGAGACCUGUAUGAAUGGCAUAACGAGGGCUUAACUGUCUCCCCCUCCCAGUCAAUGAAAUUGAUCCCCCCGUGCAGAAGCGGGGAUAACCCCAUAAGACGAGAAGACCCUGUGGAGCUUUAGACAAUAAAUAGACCCUGUAAAGACUCACAGUAGAUAAAAACAAAAGGUACCCCUAUUUUACUGUCUUCGGUUGGGGCGACCGCGGGGAACACAAAACCCCCACGUGGAACAAGAACACCCUCUUUAAACCAAGAGUUACAACUCUAAAGAGCAGAACAUCUGACCAAAAUGACCCGGCGACAUUACCGCCGAUCAACGAAACUAGUUACCCCAGGGAUAACAGCGCAAUCCUCUCCCAGAGCCCAUAUCGACGAGGGGGUUUACGACCUCGAUGUUGGAUCAGGACAUCCUAAUGGUGCAGCCGCUAUUAAGGGUUCGUUUGUUCAACGAUUAAAGUCCUACGUGAU